UAUGUGAGUGUCAGGGUGCUUUAUCAGUGCAGGCCAGCUUGGACUUUUAUACACUCUCAUGCCUCUGAGUGAUGAGUUGCAAACCACUCCUGCUAUGAACACAUGCAACAGCUACGACCACACACUCCUGCUGCGACCACACACAACAGGGAAGAGUUGGCAUUGAUGAUGAGGGGGUUCCUGCCAUGUGUGACCCAACUCCUGGGUCUGCUCCUCCUCUUAAUGACCCCAGGGAGGGUUGAAGGGUCAUCAGGCUGUCCCUUGUCCUGCACCUGUCAUGGUGGUCAGGUAGACUGCAGCAGCCGCACCCUCACCACCUCCUCUUUACCCUCCCACUUCCCUCCUGCCAGCAUCGAGCUCCGUCUCCACGACAACCAGCUGACCACGCUCCCCAACGGCCUGCUGGACUCCCUUUCCUCCCUCCGCUCUGUCUCUCUCCAUGGCAACCCCUGGGCGUGUGAUUGCAGUGUGCUCUACCUGCGUUCCUGGCUGCUCAAACAGCCUGUCGACUAUGUGGGACACAGCAACGUCACCUGCAGUUCCCCUCCCAGCCUGCGGGGAAGGCUGGUGGUCUACCUGGCUGAGGAGGAGGUUUUGGAGUCCUGUCACUACUGGUACUGUGACCUGGCACUGGCCUCCCAGGUCUUUCUGUUUGUGUUUGUGGCGGUGCAGGUGGGGCUGCUGGGUGCCAUGGUCGUGUUCCUGAGGAGGUUUGAAAGGCUGUCCCAUGAGGCACGAAGGACCACAGAGGAGAGCUUCGCUGGGGGGGUAGGGGCUUAUGAGUAAUAGUGAGUAUGAGCCCCUGAAGGCCAGCAGCAUCUGAAGAGGGUGGGAGGGGCCAAGUAGGCAAGGAGGGAGAAGAGGGAGAGGAAACAGCAAAAGGCAGAGUAGAGAGAGAACCGUAAAGGGAUCAAGCUGGUGAGCUUGAAAGGGGACUCACAGGACAAGAAACAUGGGCAAAUACAAGUGGUUGUGCAUUUAUAUUCUGGGGAUUCUUUCAAUAUGUUUUAUUGCUUGCAUCACUCAAUAAAGCUGUUAAAAUAAUA
This is an RNA transcript of Oncorhynchus gorbuscha (pink salmon), 1046 nucleotides long. It is a transcript of the gene named platelet glycoprotein Ib beta chain-like, with no coding region annotated. The record is from RefSeq and is a predicted model, not a curated record. The transcript is spliced from 2 exons. Lineage: Eukaryota; Metazoa; Chordata; Actinopteri; Salmoniformes; Salmonidae.